This 57-nucleotide transfer RNA is filed under the name Macropostrongyloides baylisi. RNAcentral describes it as "tRNA-Val". Lineage: Eukaryota; Metazoa; Nematoda; Chromadorea; Rhabditida; Strongylidae. The record is from RNAcentral.
AAAUCUUUAGUUUAAUAGUAGAAUUUUUCAUUUACAAUGAAAGGGUUUAAAGAUUUU